GAGUUUGAUCGUGGCUCAGGAUGAACGCUGGCGGCGUGCUUAACACAUGCAAGUCGAACGAGGAAUUUUAAAUGAGACUUCGGUGGAUUUUAAAAUUCUUAGUGGCGGACGGGUGAGUAACGCGUGGGCAACCUGCCCUGUACAGGGGGGACAACAGCUGGAAACGGCUGCUAAUACCGCAUAAGACCACGGAGCCGCAUGGCUCAGUGGGAAAAACUCCGGUGGUACAGGAUGGGCCCGCGUUGGAUUAGGUAGUUGGUGAGGUAACGGCCCACCAAGCCGACGAUCCAUAGCCGACCUGAGAGGGUGACCGGCCACGUUGGGACUGAGACACGGCCCAAACUCCUACGGGAGGCAGCAGUGGGGAAUCUUCCGCAAUGGGCGAAAGCCUGACGGAGCAACGCCGCGUGAGUGAAGAAUUAUUUCGGUAUGUAAAGCUCUAUCAGCAGGGAAGAAAAUGACGGUACCUGACUAAGAAGCCCCGGCUAACUACGUGACAGCCGCCGCGGUAAC
This 513-nucleotide ribosomal RNA is filed under the name uncultured microorganism. RNAcentral describes it as "bacterial SSU rRNA". It matches the Rfam family "Bacterial small subunit ribosomal RNA", at positions 9 to 524 of the family's 1533-position model. The record is from RNAcentral.